Molecule: long non-coding RNA, 1043 nt
Filed under: Ursus maritimus (polar bear)
Lineage: Eukaryota; Metazoa; Chordata; Mammalia; Carnivora; Ursidae
Description: lncRNA (ENSUMAG00000014999.1)
Source: RNAcentral
AUGCGGGAGCAAGGUCAUCUUUUUGGCAGGAACCAAUUGGGUGUACUAAAUGGAUACAGCCUGUUUAAAAUGAAUGUGCCAAAUGCCACAAAGCCACCAUCGAAUCAGCAGAUUAGAAAGAUCUUGUCUGAGAAAUACUGGGUUGGAGACCGUGGUGCAACCCUCAUCACUACCCAGCUCGCCCUGUGUUUUAAACAGCCAGAGUAGCCUCUCAGAGGCAGGCGGAUAGUUGAGAAGUCUCCACCUUGCCCUGACGGAGGUUUUCCAAUCUGCUCAGAAGCUGAGGGACAGGAGAAAGCUGUUCUCUCCUGAACAAGGAGGAGGCCCCUCUUGAAACCUACCAGUCACACCUGUAUGGACUUACACCUGUGAAAAUGUACAAGAGACACCCUCUUCCGCCCAUACUUCAUCCUUCUUCUUUAACCCCACUCUUGUUUUCCUUUUUUUUUUUUCCUCACCAACCAAGGAUUUCUAUUAUUUCUUGAAAAAAUUGUCAGGGUCUAUGCUAAAUCUUUAUCUAAAUCAAUUAAGUCAACUGGAUGCCACUGAAAGCAAAAGGCAUGAAGACAGCAUGAGUAGAUUUGAACAUGAACACCUCCCUUCUAGGUUACUGGGUGUGUUUAUUUUUUUUACUAUCACCAGACACUUGAUGAUUGCAUCAUUUUGCACAUGACUCCAUGGGCUGAAGAAAAGGUAUUGAAGAACAUUGAUGAUGUAUUGGAAAUUAAUGAUCAUUCAUAUAAUUAAAAAAAAAAGACAAUCAAGAUGUUGGGAAUGGACUUUGUGGUUAAAGAAACUUUGGGUACUGGAAAUACCACAGAGAUUAAGCCUCUCUUAAUCUUUCAUUUAUAAUUCAGAGAUGACAUCUCCCUUUCUUCUUUGCCUACUUAAGGUGUAUGAGGCAAGGAGGGGAGGUUCUCUUUGAAGACUACAAGUUUAACUUGCUUGUUCAGUCUCUCCUUACCAUCAGCAAGAAAAAAAUUAUAGAUGCAUAUCCAUUACUUACAAAUAAAUUCAAGAAUGUGAUUCUCUUUUCUUCUCCA